RNAcentral lists this transfer RNA (70 nucleotides) under Muntiacus sp. JAV11. RNAcentral describes it as "tRNA-Thr". The record is from RNAcentral. Lineage: Eukaryota; Metazoa; Chordata; Mammalia; Artiodactyla; Cervidae.
GUCUUCGUAGUAUACUCAAUACGCUGGUCUUGUAAACCAGNAAANGAGAACAACCAACCUCCCUAAGACU